GACCAAUCUGAAAGAAGCUAGUGUUGGAAGAGGGCAAGUCUUAAAGGAUUUAGGAGGAUGCUUAUAAAAUAAGAGAAAGACACAGAGAGCAGGAAGACGGUCUCUCUACAUAGAACGCUACUUCUCUGUAGCUGGAACUAGCAUGCAUCGGACCCUGAGGUUGAUCCCAGUAAGAGGAGGAAGAGGGAAGAGAGAGGAGAGAGAUGGGAAAUGACUCAGAGUGGAGACUAAUGUUCAGGGUAUUUUACCACAGCAACCGAAAAGAAGUUGGAGCACAGCCUUCACUUGGAGUAACAGAGAAGCCAAGGCAGCGUUCAGUUGGUGCAACCGAGUGAAGGUAAGACAUGGCAUGUGGUUGCGGUAGCUGAAACACUGUGUGAAAACAUUCGGGUGCCAUGCAAUUCUUUC
This 408-nucleotide long non-coding RNA is filed under the name Rattus norvegicus (Norway rat). RNAcentral describes it as "long non-coding RNA NONRATT031876". The record is from RNAcentral. Lineage: Eukaryota; Metazoa; Chordata; Mammalia; Rodentia; Muridae.